AACUUUCAGCAGUGGAUGUCUAGGCUCGCACAUCGAUGAAGAACGCUGAGAACUGCGAUACGUAAUGCGAAUUGCAGGAUUCAGUGAGUCAUCGAAAUUUUGAACGCAUAUUGCACUUCCGGGUUAGUCCUGGAAGUAUGCCUGUAUCAGUGUCC
Molecule: ribosomal RNA, 155 nt
Rfam family: 5.8S ribosomal RNA
About the family: 5.8S ribosomal RNA (5.8S rRNA) is a component of the large subunit of the eukaryotic ribosome. It is transcribed by RNA polymerase I as part of the 45S precursor that also contains 18S and 28S rRNA.